GAACGCGAAGAACCUUACCAGAUCUUGACAUCCUACGAAUGCCUGUGAGAACAGGCAGUGCCUUCGGGAACGUAGAGACAGGUGGUGCAUGGCUGUCGACAGCUCGUGUCGUGAGAUGUUGGGUUAAGUCCCGCAACGAGCGCAACCCCUAUCGCUAGUUGCCAUCAUUAAGUUGGGGACUCUAGCGAGACUGCCUGCGAAGAGCAGGAGGAAGGUGGGGAUGACGUCAAGUCAUCAUGCCCCUUAUGAUCUGGGCUACACACGUGCUACAAUGGCCGGUACAAAGAGCUGCAAAACGGUAACGUUUAGCCAAUCUUUAAAGCCGGUCCAAGUUCGGAUUGAAGUCUGCAACUCGACUUCAUGAAGCCGGAAUCGCUAGUAAUCGCAGAUCAGCAAUGCUGCGGUGAAUACGUUCUCGGGUCUUGUACACACC
This 433-nucleotide ribosomal RNA is filed under the name uncultured bacterium. Its description in RNAcentral is "bacterial SSU rRNA". It matches the Rfam family "Bacterial small subunit ribosomal RNA", at positions 957 to 1391 of the family's 1533-position model. The record is from RNAcentral.